Transfer RNA from Ovis aries (sheep), 72 nucleotides. It matches the Rfam family "tRNA". Rfam says of the family: Transfer RNA (tRNA) molecules are approximately 80 nucleotides in length. Lineage: Eukaryota; Metazoa; Chordata; Mammalia; Artiodactyla; Bovidae. The record is from Rfam.
UCCCUGGUGGUCCUGGGGUUAGGAUUCGGCACUGUCACUGCUGUGGCCCAGGUUCAAUCCCUGGUGGGGGAA